Long non-coding RNA from Malania oleifera, 766 nucleotides. RefSeq lists it as uncharacterized. The transcript has 4 exons. The record is from RefSeq and is a predicted model, not a curated record. Lineage: Eukaryota; Viridiplantae; Streptophyta; Magnoliopsida; Santalales; Ximeniaceae.
AUUUUGACAGGUCUACAGAGCUCCCACGCCCAGUCUGUCUGUUCUCUGUCUGUCUCUUUCUCUGGUGACGAAGUUGGACGAGGGUGAAGGUUAUACGACCCUAAUGUGGUCAGUUUCAUCUCUCCAUUUGCUGAGCCCUAAAAAGUUGAUGGGGCAUUUUGAUUUCGACAUUUUGACUCGAGUUUCGAGCAGGUCUAGUAGUGACUGAGGCCUGUUGCUGAAAGCUCUUUCCUUUGGCUUGGACUCUGAAAGAGUAAUCUAGCUUCCAUGUUGUAUGACUCAUCACUCCCAGUUCAUUUCCCUUUCAAGCAUCAGACUUGAACCCUCGGCCUUCCAAUUAGGAGGUGAGGAGAUGAAUUGUUAGGCUCAAGCAUGCGGGAAAAGCGCAUUAAUUAAUCCAGAUGAAUCAUGAAGUGAUGAGCCGCCUGCAGGCUGCAGCUAUACACACAUGCAAGUACUAAGUCCAGGCUCCUCUGUUGAGACGCUUGCCUUCAGAAGCACACGGGCUUCUACCCAUUUCCCCUCCCUCUUCCUCUCCCUCUCGUUAAUUCUCUCGAAGAGCUAGCUAGCUGGCUAGCUAGUCGCUGAUAAAUGGCAAUUGCUUCUUACCCCACUUCCUACAGAAGUAGACAUCAUUGUUUCCUACUGUAUGGGGGCGUGUGUGUGUGUGUGUGUAUAUGUACAAAUCUCAUGCAUGUUCACUUUGGGUCACUGGCUUUGGACUGUACAUUUUAAAUGAGCCCUGCAGUAAACAAUUCUCAACGUA